AGGAAUAACACAUUUAAAGGUUCCAGAGAUGACAAUCUGGUAUCUUUGAGGGCCAUUCUUCAGUCUAAUACAAACUAUCACAAAGUUAGUGACUUCAAGGAACACACAUUUAUUUUCUUACAGUUCUGGAGGAAUGGGCUAAAAUAAAGGUGUCUGUAGGGCUGGUCCCUUCUGGAAUCUCCAGGGAGAGUCAAUCUCCGGCCUCCUGAGCCUCUAGACAGCAGCAUUCCUGGGCUCCCGGCUGCGUCCCUCCAGUCUGCCUCUGUGGUCACACUACAGCCCUCUCUCUCAGCGACCCCCUUCCCUCUUUCCUGUAAGGACCCUCGUGAUUCCGCCUGGAUCAUCCAGGUUAACCUCCCCAUCUCAAGGUCCUUGAGGUAGUCACAUCUGCAAAGUCCCUGCUGCCAUAUACAGCAACACAUGCACAAGCUCUGAGCACGGGGAUGGGGGUGUCGUUGGGGGCUGUUCUUCAGGGUCAACCACACACCCUUCCCCUGUUGCAGAUUCUUUUUUUGUUGUUGUUGAGACAGUCUCGCUCUUGUCACCCAGGCUGGAGUGCGGUGGUGCGAUCUCAGCUCACUGCAGCCUCCGCCUCCCGGGUUCAAGCGAUUCUCCUGGCUCAGCCUCCCGAGUAACUGAGACUACAGGAGCCUGCCACCACGCCCAGAUAAUUUUUCUAUUUUUAGUAGAGAUGGGGUUUCACUGUGUUAGCCAGGCUGGUCUCAAACUGCUGACCUCAGGCAAUCAGCCCGCCUUGGCCUCCCAAAGUGCUGGGAUUACAGGAGUGAGCCACCGCGCCCGGCCUACUGUAGAUUCUUCUCUUGCCCCGAGCGGUAACCACCAUCUCCAAUUCUGUGCAAACCAUCCUCCUGGUUUUCUUUAUAUGUUUAUGUGUGUCCAAAUAUGUUGUAUCUUUAAACAAUACAUCGUUAGGCCAGGUACAGCGGCUCACGCCUGUAAUCCCAGCACUUUGGGAGGCUGAGGCAGGCAUAUCCUUUGAGCCUAGGAGUUCAAGACCAGCCUGGGCAACAUGAUGAAACCCUGUCUCCACUAAAAAUACAAAAAAUUAAGCUGGCAUAGUGGUGUGUACCUGUAGUUGCAGCUACUCAGGAGGCUGAGGUGGGAGGAUCUCCUGAGCCCAGGAGAUAUAUACAUAUAUAUAUAAAUACAUAUAUAUGCGUGUGUGUGUGUGUGUGUGUGUAUAAUUUCUAUUCUCUCCACCCCCAGAGGUGAGACUCUGCUUUCUGCCUGCCUUGGAGAAGGGUGGGCGAGAUGAGCCGUGUCCCUCACUCCAAGUCACACUUCAGGUCUUCCACGUGGAGACCUCUGAGCUAUCAGUGGACGGCGGGAUUCCUGGAGCUGCUGGAACAAAGCCCCACAGGCUGGUGGCUUGGACAACAGCCUGUGUUCCUUCCCAGGCUGGGAGGCUCUGGGGAAGAACCGUUCAUGCCUCUCCCGGCUCCUGGUGACCCCACGAUUCCUGCACUUGCUGACUUAGGGCUGAGCACUCCAGUCCCACUGGCUGCUGUCCCCUGUAUCUCCUCCAUUCCUGUCUCCUCCAAGGGUGCCGGUCACCAGCUUUAAGGCCCACCCCAAAUCCAGGAUGAUCUUAUCUCGAGAUCCUUAAUUACUUCUGCAAUGAUUCUUUACCUAAAGAAGCCCCUAUUCUCAGGUUCUGGGUGGACCUAUCUUUUUUUUUUUUUUUUUUUGCGACAGAGUCUUGCUGUGUUGCCCAGGCUGGAGUGUAGUGGCACAAUCUCAGUUCAGUGCAGCCUCAGCCUCAAUCUCCUGGGCUCAAGCCAUCCUCCCUCCUCAGCCCCCCAGGACACAUCUUUAGAGGGUCACCAUUCAACGCACUGUGGUGGGCAAGGCUGCUUUGAGUUUCCUGGUUAGGAUACAACCAGCGCUGUGUGUGGAUGUCCACACAUGCCCCCGCCCCCGGCUGUACAGCCACCGGGAGACUGAGUAAAAUGUGAACUGAAGGAGGCCCCAAGGGUGGCAAGCAGAGAAAUGAAGGGAAAUGUCCCUUACCCACGCCUCUCUCCUUCCCCCACGUGACACUUCUCACAGCAGGUACCGGUACGUGUGCACAGAGGAGAACCCAGUGCCCUUCAGGGAAGAGGGUGCUGAGCCCCUGGACCGCACUUAGGUCUCGCCCCAGCUCUGUGAUUUGGACCUGGGCCCCCGAGCCCUAGUCACAGCCGGGGCGGCCCAACUCGCUCCGCCAUCGGAAGGCUUCUGGUCGCUCUCAGGGAGGAGCCCCUCUCGUAUGGGAAUCGAGGUGUUCAAUGCCCACGAUGCGGAGACCGCCUGGCCCGAGUGGGCCAGUGAUCUCAGCUUACAGUCCAGCUCCUUCCUCCCCAUGGCUAAGAGGUCAGCACCAGCUCAGGUAUCCGUGCCAAGCCCUCAACGGGCCAUCCUCCUUCCCGCGGCGACCCCGCGCAUGACAAGGCCAGACCCUCCCGCGAACGUGCUCUGCGCUCCCGCCUGGCCCCUCCCCGCCCCGCCCCUCCCCC
RNAcentral lists this long non-coding RNA (2516 nucleotides) under Homo sapiens (human). RNAcentral describes it as "HSALNT0246550". The record is from RNAcentral. Lineage: Eukaryota; Metazoa; Chordata; Mammalia; Primates; Hominidae.